Molecule: ribosomal RNA, 484 nt
Filed under: uncultured bacterium
Lineage: Bacteria
Description: partial 16S ribosomal RNA
Rfam family: Bacterial small subunit ribosomal RNA
Source: RNAcentral
AUUGAACGCUGGCGGCAGGCCUAACACAUGCAAGUCGAGCGGAUGAAGGGAGCUUGCUCCUGGAUUCAGCGGCGGACGGGUGAGUAAUGCCUAGGAAUCUGCCUGGUAGUGGGGGAUAACGUCCGGAAACGGGCGCUAAUACCGCAUACGUCCUGAGGGAGAAAGUGGGGGAUCUUUGGACCUCACGCUAUCAGAUGAGCCUAGGUCGGAUUAGCUAGUUGGUGGGGUAAAGGCCUACCAAGGCGACGAUCCGUAACUGGUCUGAGAGGAUGAUCAGUCACACUGGAACUGAGACACGGUCCAGACUCCUACGGGAGGCAGCAGUGGGGAAUAUUGGACAAUGGGCGAAAGCCUGAUCCAGCCAUGCCGCGUGUGUGAAGAAGGUCUUCGGAUUGUAAAGCACUUUAAGUUGGGAGGAAGGGCAGUAAGUUAAUACCUUGCUGUUUUGACGUUACCAACAGAAUAAGCACCGGCUAACUUCGUG